Molecule: non-coding RNA, 30 nt
Filed under: Homo sapiens (human)
Lineage: Eukaryota; Metazoa; Chordata; Mammalia; Primates; Hominidae
Source: RNAcentral
UUCUGUCCCAGCUGGAAUGUGAGGAAGGCU